RNAcentral lists this ribosomal RNA (396 nucleotides) under Comamonadaceae bacterium 12S-VPa. RNAcentral's name for it is "bacterial SSU rRNA". It matches the Rfam family "Bacterial small subunit ribosomal RNA", at positions 404 to 792 of the family's 1533-position model. The record is from RNAcentral. Lineage: Bacteria; Pseudomonadati; Pseudomonadota; Betaproteobacteria; Burkholderiales; Comamonadaceae.
CAGGAUGAAGGCCUUCGGGUUGUAAACUGCUUUUGUACGGAACGAAAAGUCUCUUUCUAAUAAAGAGGGAUCAUGACGGUACCGUAAGAAUAAGCACCGGCUAACUACGUGCCAGCAGCCGCGGUAAUACGUAGGGUGCAAGCGUUAAUCGGAAUUACUGGGCGUAAAGCGUGCGCAGGCGGUUAUGUAAGACAGUUGUGAAAUCCCCGGGCUCAACCUGGGAACUGCAUCUGUGACUGCAUAGCUAGAGUACGGUAGAGGGGGAUGGAAUUCCGCGUGUAGCAGUGAAAUGCGUAGAUAUGCGGAGGAACACCGAUGGCGAAGGCAAUCCCCUGGACCUGUACUGACGCUCAUGCACGAAAGCGUGGGGAGCAAACAGGAUUAGAUACCCUGGUA